GGGGAGUUCAGGGCUCAAUAUGCGAGGGACAUUUUCGGUGUGAAACUGCAGGUAAGUUUGUUGUACCCCGCUAACUAUUCCAAACGCAACACCGUUGAAUGCUGUAUGAUACUCAAAGCUUGGUGUAGGAAUCUCAGGAGUAGGAUAUGCAAAACACAAAAGGAAAGAAAGACUAGCCCAAAAUGUUGUAACACUCUGCCCGGAAACAACAAAAUCAUCGACAUGUCCAUGGACAAUCAGCCAAAAGGUCAGGAUGACAAGCCCAAUGCCAAUUCCGGCCACAACAUCGAUCAAGCUGUGCAUUCCCAAAUAUAUUCUACCUAUAGCAAUUAAUGCAACAAGAAGAAAAACAGCACUGAAUCCAAUCCAAAUUGAGAAACCAUCUCUUUCAACCCCGCUCAUGAAGACAUAGUGCAGCAAAUAUCCAGAGAGGCAGACGGUAUUGAGAGCAUGUGAAGAUGGCAUGCCGUACUCCAUCGCAUUCUCCUUCUCGUCUUCGGUCUCAGUCACCCUCCUCACCGGAGGAGAACUCGGCCUCGGAGCCGACACAAUAUCCUUAAUACAAUUGCCAAUGUAAUCCGAAAAUGCAAUCAGCAAAGUCAUCUGUCUGGCCAAUUUGACAUGCCCACUCCAGAACAGAAGAGGGAGGAAUCCGGUGUAGAACGGAACAGAAACGAGACAGGAGAUGAGAGAGAAGAGUUGAUCCAGCGAACCAUGUUGAAUUCUCUGGAGGCGGAGAAUGAGAGGGGUGUCGGCGGC
This 759-nucleotide unclassified non-coding RNA is filed under the name Hevea brasiliensis (rubber tree). The record is from RNAcentral. Lineage: Eukaryota; Viridiplantae; Streptophyta; Magnoliopsida; Malpighiales; Euphorbiaceae.